GAGGAGCUUGCUCUUCUGGAUGAGUUGCGAACGGGUGAGUAACGCGUAGGUAACCUGCCUGGUAGCGGGGGAUAACUAUUGGAAACGAUAGCUAAUACCGCAUAAGAGUAGAUGUUGCAUGACAUUUACUUAAAAGGUGCAAUUGCAUCACUACCAGAUGGACCUGCGUUGUAUUAGCUAGUUGGUGGGGUAACGGCUCACCAAGGCGACGAUACAUAGCCGACCUGAGAGGGUGAUCGGCCACACUGGGACUGAGACACGGCCCAGACUCCUAC
Molecule: ribosomal RNA, 275 nt
Filed under: uncultured Streptococcus sp.
Lineage: Bacteria; Bacillati; Bacillota; Bacilli; Lactobacillales; Streptococcaceae
Description: partial 16S ribosomal RNA
Rfam family: Bacterial small subunit ribosomal RNA
Source: RNAcentral